GUCCAGAGUUUCAAACCAACCUCACUAAUGUUCACUAUUGUGCAGUUAGAAAUCAUAGGUCCUUUGUGUUUAAGGACCUAGUAGGGAAAUGAUUUACAACUACCCAAACAAGCAAACUGAUCUUCCUGACAGAGUCCUCACUGGAUGGAGCACAUGCUAGUCACGUCCACACUUUGAGCUGGGCAAAAGCAACAUUGGGGUUUCAUUGGUGAUGAUAAUAGAUGUCAGACUGUCAUAUGAAUAUUGAUGCGAAAGCUAGUCUGCUUUCGUAGAGGAGCAGAAGGAAGCAAGAUGGCUGCCCUUUAGGAUUUGUUUGAAAGGAGACAGAUUGUACUUUGCUGGAUUUCUGCGACGCUGAGGGAGAUACAGAGGCUGGAGCUAUUUUUAUGUACCAGUUUGAAGUAUUUUUGUGAGAAUCCAGUAAAGUGAUAGUGGUACGGUGGAACAGGUACAGUGUUUUCACCUUCCUGGUGUGUGUGCAUGAGUUUUAAUUGUGUGUUUUUAAUUUUAAAGGAAAAUAUCACAUGUAACGUGUGCAGUGAAACUGAGCUUCUAAUGUGCUAAGGAAGUAAAGCUUUAAUAAAUGAAGGAAUUGAAAUUACACAGAGAAUUA
Rhincodon typus (whale shark) is the source of this 613-nucleotide long non-coding RNA. RefSeq lists it as uncharacterized. NCBI's taxonomy places the organism in Eukaryota, Metazoa, Chordata, Chondrichthyes, Orectolobiformes, Rhincodontidae. The transcript is spliced from 2 exons. The record is from RefSeq and is a predicted model, not a curated record.